Solanum tuberosum (potato) is the source of this 3022-nucleotide RNA transcript. It is a transcript of the gene named receptor-like protein 12, with no coding region annotated. Lineage: Eukaryota; Viridiplantae; Streptophyta; Magnoliopsida; Solanales; Solanaceae. The transcript has a single exon. The record is from RefSeq and is a predicted model, not a curated record.
AACUCUUUCAUUCAAACAUGGACUACAAGCAACUCUCAGUUGUGCUCUUACUUGUCUUUCUCCGUCACAAACUUGUUUUCUCUUCUUCCAUAUUACCUCAUUUGUGUCCCAAACAUCAAAGUACCACCCUUCUAAAAUUCAAGCAGACGUUUACGAUAGAUACAUUUGAUAUGUGUGGACUUAUGCUUGGCCAGGAGUCUUAUCCAAAGACGAUCUCAUGGAACUUAAGCAGAGAUUGUUGUUUAUGGGAUGGAGUGAAGUGUGACGAGAUGAGUGGUCAUGUCAUUGAACUUGACCUCGGUUGCAGCCUGCUUGUUGGGGUGAUUGAUUCCAAUAGCAGCCUAUUCCAACUCUCUCAUCUCCAAAGACUCAACCUUUCUAUGAAUAACUUUGAUGGUUCUCAAAUCUCACCUAAAUUUGGCAGGUUUUCAAGCAUGACACAUCUUGAUCUUUCCCGGUCAUAUUUCUCAGGUCAAAUUCCUUCUGAAAUCUCUCAUCUUUCCAAGUUACACUCUCUUCUUCUCUCCACACUUUAUCUCAAUAAGCUAAGACUCGCAAGUCAUGAUUUUAAACCACUCCUUCGGAAUUUGACCCAAUUAAGAGAGCUUAAUCUUAGAUCCGUAAACAUCUCUUCCACCAUUCCUCCGAUUUUUUCUUCUCAUUUAACAACUUUGAGGUUGGGAUGGACAGGAUUGUAUGGGAUAAUACCCGAGAGUAUUUUCCACUUGCCCAACUUGCAAAGACUUGACUUACAUCACAAUGAUCAGCUCAGUGGUUAUUUUCCAAAGACCAAAUGGAAUAGUAGCGCAUCUCUCAUAGAGUUAGAUCUUACUGACGUGAAUUUUUCUGAUACUUUACCCGAGUCUCUUGGCUAUCUAACUUCGUUGCAGUCUUUGUCUCUUCAAAAUUGCAACCUUAGAGGGCCUAUUCCCGAAUCUCUUUCAAAUCUCACCCACAUAGAGUCUUUGUACCUUGGAGUUAACUCCCUGAAUGGAACAAUUCCGUCAUGGAUAUUCUCCCUUCCAUCACUAAGUUUAAUAUACUUGAGUAAUAACCAAUUUUCUGGUCAGCUUGAGGAUUUCAAGUCCAAUUCACUUGUCUGGAUUUACUUACAAGACAAUCAGCUGCAAGGCCAUCUUCCCACGUCAAUUCAAAACCUCGUGAACCUAACAACUCUUGAUCUUUCAUCGAAUAAUUUUAGUGGUAGUGUGGAUGUUAGCUUCUUUUCGAAGCUCAAGUAUCUUUUAGAUCUUGGUCUUUCAUAUAAUCGUAUCACAUUGAUCAAUGAGAAUAAAGUUAAAUCUACUUUGCCUGAAUCUCUUGAGAAGUUAGGAUUGGCCGCGUGUGAAGUGAAAGAAUUGGAGUUUCUAAGAUCCGCGAAGAAUCUCAAGGAGUUGGAUCUUUCAAAUAAUAAGAUUCAAGGAAGGAUUCCUGAUUGGGCAUGGUCUAAUUGGGAAUUUUCAGUGUCAACUCUUAAUUUAUCUCACAAUAUGUUGACAAGCAUGGACUCAAUUCCUCUUCUAUCUCUAGAUACUAUUGAUUUGCGUUCCAAUUUUCUUGAAGGGUCACUACCUAUUCCAGCUAAUUCCACGAGAUACUUCUUCAUAUCGGAAAAUAAUCUUAGUGGGGAAAUUCCUUCGUCUCUUUGCAAUUUGAUGUCACUAAAAAUGCUCGUUUUGGGAAAAAAUAACUUGAGGGGAACAAUUCCACAAUGUGUUGGGUAACAUGAGUUACGAUCUUGAGGUUUUGGAUAUGCACCACAACAAUCUUUCGGGGACUCUUCCAACGACUUUUAGCAUUGAAAGUUCACUCAGAAGCCUCAACUUGCAUGGUAAUAAACUACAGGGGAAAAUCCCCCGAUCUUUGGUUAAUUGCAAAAGGUUGCAAGUUCUUGAUUUAGGAGAAAAUCACCUCAACGACACAUUCCCAAUGUGGUUGGGGACUUUGCCUGAGCUUCAAGUUUUAAGCUUGCGAUCCAACAAAUUACAUGGGUCGAUUCAACCUUCAAGGUUUGAAAAUAUGUUUCCCCAGCUCCGGAUAAUAGAUCUCUCUUACAAUGCCUUCUCAGGAAACUUACCUACGAGUCUAUUUCAACAUCUGAAAGCCAUGAGGACGAUUGAUCCAUUGACAAAGUCACCAAGUAAUGAAAGAGAUGGAUAUUACCAAGACUCGGUCGUUGUAGUAACAAAGGGAUUGGAACUUGAAGUUGUGAGAAUCUUGUUUUUGUACACUACUAUCGAUCUUUCUAGCAACAAAUUUGAAGGACAUAUCCCUAGUGUUCUAGGAGAUCUCAUUGCACUUCGGGUGAUGAAUUUGUCUCAUAAUAGAUUGCAAGGUCAUAUUCCAUCAUCACUUGGAAAUUUAUCAGUAGUUGAAUCAUUGGACCUUUCAUUCAACCAACUUUCAGGAGAGAUACCAGAACAACUCGCUUCUCUUACAUAUCUCGAAUUCUUAAGGCUCUCCCACAAUCAUCUUGUAGGAUGCAUUCCUAUAGGACGUCAAUUUGCUACAUUUCAGAACAAUUCAUAUGAUGGUAAUGAUGGAUUGCGUGGAUUCCCUGUUUCAGAAGAUUGUGGAAGUCGCGAGAUGCCAAAGAGAAACAACACAACACAAGUGUUGAAUCAAGAAAGCAACUCCACAUUUCUAAGUGAAUUUAGGAAGACAAUUCUUAUGGGAUAUGGGAGUGGACUUAUCAUUGGACUCUUCAUAGCAUAUUUCAUGCUUUCGAGUCGAAAUUCCAAUUGGCUUUCUAGGAUCACUGAAGAACUAGAAUACAGAAUCGCUAUGAGAAGGCGAAAAAAGAAGCAGCAGCAAGGCCGUCAAAGGCAGCACUAAGAAUCCAGUUGGUGGAAUGCCCCAUUGGAGAUGCAAUAUGAUGCUUGUUUUGGUGAUGGUGGAUUAUGAAUUUCAAUGUAUUCAUUGUAGUUUUUUUUACAUUGCACGAAUUCAGAUUAGUCAGGUCUCUAAUGUGAAUAUCAGAAACUAAAUGAAAAACCAAAAAAAAUCAUGUCUCCUUCUAAAU